This is a non-coding RNA of Serendipita vermifera MAFF 305830, 81 nucleotides long. Lineage: Eukaryota; Fungi; Basidiomycota; Agaricomycetes; Sebacinales; Serendipitaceae. The record is from the annotation of a GenBank genome assembly.
GCAUUGAUGGUUCAACGGUAGAAUGGGUCGUUGCCAUAAAAGGAAAUCGACUCGACCGGGGUUCGACUCCCCGUCAAUGCA